Molecule: ribosomal RNA, 426 nt
Filed under: uncultured bacterium
Lineage: Bacteria
Description: bacterial SSU rRNA
Rfam family: Bacterial small subunit ribosomal RNA
Source: RNAcentral
UUUCGAAUUAUUCACAAUGGGCGAAAGCCUGAUGGUGCGACGCCGCGUGAGGGAUGAAGGUCUUCGGAUUGUAAACCUCUGUCACCGGGGAAGAAUGGCCAUGACCUAAUACGUCAUGGAUUGACUUAACCCGGAGAGGAAGCAGUGGCUAACUCUGUGCCAGCAGCCGCGGUAAUACAGAGACUGCAAGCGUUAUUCGGAUUCACUGGGCGUAAAGGGUGCGCAGGCGGUUAUGUGUGUUAGGUGUGAAAGCCCGAGGCUCAACCUCGGAAUUGCGCCUAAAACUACAUGACUAGAGUACCGGAGAGGAUAGCGGAAUUCACGGUGUAGCAGUGAAAUGCGUAGAUAUCGUGAAGAACACCAGCGGCGAAGGCGGCUAUCUGGAAGGUAACUGACGCUCAGGCACGAAAGCGUGGGGAGCAAAAG